RNAcentral lists this ribosomal RNA (656 nucleotides) under Fusarium equiseti. RNAcentral's name for it is "eukaryotic LSU rRNA". It matches the Rfam family "Eukaryotic large subunit ribosomal RNA", at positions 1 to 667 of the family's 3401-position model. Lineage: Eukaryota; Fungi; Ascomycota; Sordariomycetes; Hypocreales; Nectriaceae. The record is from RNAcentral.
AACUUCUGAAUGUUGACCUCGGAUCAGGUAGGAAUACCCGCUGAACUUAAGCAUAUCAAUAAGCGGAGGAAAAGAAACCAACAGGGAUUGCCCUAGUAACGGCGAGUGAAGCGGCAACAGCUCAAAUUUGAAAUCUGGCUCUCGGGCCCGAGUUGUAAUUUGUAGAGGAUGCUUUUGAUGCGGUGCCUUCCGAGUUCCCUGGAACGGGACGCCAUAGAGGGUGAGAGCCCCGUCUGGUUGGAUGCCAAAUCUCUGUAAAGCUCCUUCGACGAGUCGAGUAGUUUGGGAAUGCUGCUCUAAAUGGGAGGUAUAUGUCUUCUAAAGCUAAAUACCGGCCAGAGACCGAUAGCGCACAAGUAGAGUGAUCGAAAGAUGAAAAGCACUUUGAAAAGAGAGUUAAAAAGUACGUGAAAUUGUUGAAAGGGAAGCGUUUAUGACCAGACUUGGGCUUGGAUAAUCAUCUGGGGUUCUCUCCAGUGCACUUUUCCAGUCCAGGCCAGCAUCAGUUUUCGCCGGGGGAUAAAGGCUUCGGGAAUGUGGCUCUCUCCGGGGAGUGUUAUAGCCCGUUGCGUAAUACCCUGGCGGGGACUGAGGUUCGCGCAUCUGCAAGGAUGCUGGCGUAAUGGUCAUCAACGACCCGUCUUGAAACACGGACC